UACGGAGGAUCCAAGCGUUAUCCGGAAUCAUUGGGUUUAAAGGGUCCGUAGGCGGUCUUGUAAGUCAGUGGUGAAAGCCCAUCGCUCAACGGUGGAACGGCCAUUGAUACUGCAAGACUUGAAUUAUUGGGAAGUAACUAGAAUAUGUAGUGUAGCGGUGAAAUGCUUAGAUAUUACAUGGAGUACCAAUUGCGAAGGCAGGUUACUACCAAUACAUUGACGCUGAUGGACGAAAGCGUGGGGAGCGAACAGG
RNAcentral lists this ribosomal RNA (253 nucleotides) under uncultured bacterium. Its description in RNAcentral is "partial 16S ribosomal RNA". It matches the Rfam family "Bacterial small subunit ribosomal RNA", at positions 524 to 776 of the family's 1533-position model. The record is from RNAcentral.